This 240-nucleotide unclassified non-coding RNA is filed under the name Glomeraceae sp. RNAcentral's name for it is "partial contains 5.8S ribosomal RNA and internal transcribed spacer 2". The stretch from base 1 to 65 matches the Rfam family "5.8S ribosomal RNA", at positions 84 to 154 of the family's 154-position model. Lineage: Eukaryota; Fungi; Glomeromycota; Glomeromycetes; Glomerales; Glomeraceae. The record is from RNAcentral.
GUGAAUCAUCAAAUCUUUGAACGCAAAUUGCACUCUCCUCGGAGAGUAUGCCUGUUUGUGGGUCAGUCUAAAAAAAAUCGACAUCGUUGCUGUUCUGCGGUGACGUUCUUCGGAAAUUGGGUUAUCUUAACCCUUUUGGUUUAAGCUACUUAAAAUUUUACUUUUGAUUCCAUGCACGUUUCUAAGAUUUAUUUGUUUAAAUGUUUAUGGUAUCGAUUUUUAUUUGAGGUGGCCGUGAUA